Molecule: ribosomal RNA, 427 nt
Filed under: uncultured bacterium
Lineage: Bacteria
Description: partial 16S ribosomal RNA
Rfam family: Bacterial small subunit ribosomal RNA
Source: RNAcentral
UGGGGAAUAUUGGACAAUGGGCGCAAGCCUGAUCCAGCCAUACCGCGUGGGUGAAGAAGGCCUUCGGGUUGUAAAGCCCUUUUGUUGGGAAAGAAAUCCAGCUGGUUAAUACCCGGUUGGGAUGACGGUACCCAAAGAAUAAGCACCGGCUAACUUCGUGCCAGCAGCCGCGGUAAUACGAAGGGGGCAAGCGUUACUCGGAAUUACUGGGCGUAAAGCGUGCGUAGGUGGUCGUUUAAGUCCGUUGUGAAAGCCCUGGGCUCAACCUGGGAACUGCAGUGGAUACUGGGCGACUAGAAUGUGGUAGAGGGUAGCGGAAUUCCUGGUGUAGCAGUGAAAUGCGUAGAGAUCAGGAGGAACAUCCAUGGCGAAGGCAGCUACCUGGACCAACAUUGACACUGAGGCACGAAAGCGUGGGGAGCAAACA